This is a small nuclear RNA of Eptesicus fuscus (big brown bat), 167 nucleotides long. RefSeq annotates it as U1 spliceosomal RNA. The transcript has a single exon. Lineage: Eukaryota; Metazoa; Chordata; Mammalia; Chiroptera; Vespertilionidae. The record is from RefSeq and is a predicted model, not a curated record.
AUACUUACCUGGCAGGGGAGAUACCAUGAUCACGAAGGUGGUUUUCCCAGGGCGAGGCUUAUCCAUUGCACUCCGGAUGUGCUGACCCCUGUGAUUUCCCCCCCCCCCCAAAAAAAAAGAAAAAAAAAAAAAAAACUCGGGUGGAGCGAAGUCCCACAGCACAUGGC